AUACUUACCUGGCAUGGGUGAGGCCAUGAUAACACAGAUGGUUUUCCCCAGGGCCAGGCUUAGGCAUUACAUUUUGGAUGUGGGGAAAUUGACUGUCAGUUUGUUGUAGUGUUGUGGCUUCAUAUGUUGCUGUGAUGCUGGAAACUUCCACCAGUAU
Molecule: small nuclear RNA, 157 nt
Filed under: Echinops telfairi (small Madagascar hedgehog)
Lineage: Eukaryota; Metazoa; Chordata; Mammalia; Afrosoricida; Tenrecidae
Description: U1 spliceosomal RNA (ENSETEG00000026576.1)
Source: RNAcentral